Long non-coding RNA from Lonchura striata (white-rumped munia), 971 nucleotides. RefSeq lists it as uncharacterized. The record is from RefSeq and is a predicted model, not a curated record. NCBI's taxonomy places the organism in Eukaryota, Metazoa, Chordata, Aves, Passeriformes, Estrildidae.
UUUUUUUUUUUUUUUUUUUUUUGUGUCUUGCAGGAAUGUCAGUAUGUGCUUAAUUACUGAUUUGGAUAGCUAUUUCUGCUGACAAAAGAAUGUCACUGUACUGUGAUUUAUAUUAAUCCUCACAGUGCACUGUGCACCUGAAGAACAUGCAGCUGCUGGCCAGUGGGAGACCUGAUGCCUCCUGUGCUUUGCAGACUGUAAAAUUUGUUCUUUUUUAUUUUUUGUUAUGUAGCCAGGUGAGGCUGCUUGUCCUGGUCCUGAAGUGGCAAGGUAAAGCCUUGUUUCUUUGUUGUCACUUUCAGAAGUUCUGGAAUACUAUUCUAGGACUGACAAAAUCUUACGGCAUAGCACCAUUUGUCAAACCUCAUUUGAAAAUACAUACCCCUUUGCCUAUGCUGCCUUUUUUUACUUUCUCUCUGUUCUUCCAGCUUCACAAAUGCAUUUCUUACUCACUUGCAUGAAGCCUUUUGUCAGACAGCAUGCUGCUCCUUCAGCGAAUGUGUUCAUAAAGCCAGGAGAAUAAGAUACUCUGAUUGGAGCAGAUAUGACUGCAGUCUUUAAAUACCUGGAAAGGAAGAAUAAGGUUUGCCUUGACACAGAGAUUUUCUGAAGAACCACUGUUCAUGGUUACGUUUUCACUUGAAGUACAAAUGGAAUUAAAACAACCUUGUUUUGUGAGGCUAAGGGAUUAGAUUGAACAUCAAAAUUGCAAUUUAAGAGUCUGGUGGACUAUAAAAAACAAUUCCAGUCAGAGGUCGCUCAUUUGGAAAUGGUGAGCAACAGCUGCUGCAGCCUUGGCUGUCUCUCAGUGGUGGUGAAGAGACAAAAUUGUAAAUUGAACUUCUGCAUACUUCAGGUGCCGAGUCUUGAGCAGAACUGUAAUUACACAGUGCAUAACAGACAUCAUGUACAUUAUGAAAUGGUAUUUAUUUUUCUUUGGACUAUUAAAUGAGAGAAAAUGGGAGAUAAAG